This 485-nucleotide ribosomal RNA is filed under the name uncultured bacterium. Its description in RNAcentral is "partial 16S ribosomal RNA". It matches the Rfam family "Bacterial small subunit ribosomal RNA", at positions 28 to 523 of the family's 1533-position model. The record is from RNAcentral.
GACGAACGCUGGCGGCGUGCUUAACACAUGCAAGUCGAACGAUGAAGCCGGAGCUUGCUCUGGUGAAUUAGUGGCGAACGGGUGAGUAACACGUGAGUAACCUGCCCUUGACUCUGGGAUAACUGCUAGAAAUGGUAGCUAAUACCGGAUACGACCCUCGGAGGCAUCUCCAGGGGGUGGAAAGAAUUUCGGUCAAGGAUGGACUCGCGGCCUAUCAGCUAGUUGGUGAGGUAACGGCUCACCAAGGCGACGACGGGUAGCCGGCCUGAGAGGGUGACCGGCCACACUGGGACUGAGACACGGCCCAGACUCCUACGGGAGGCAGCAGUGGGGAAUAUUGCACAAUGGGCGCAAGCCUGAUGUAGCAACGCCGCGUGAGGGAUGACGGCCUUCGGGUUGUAAACCUCUUUUAGUAGGGAAGAAGCGAAAGUGACGGUACCUGCAGAAAAAGCACCGGCUAACUACGUGCCAGCAGCCGCCAGUAA